This 263-nucleotide ribosomal RNA is filed under the name uncultured soil bacterium. RNAcentral describes it as "partial 16S ribosomal RNA". It matches the Rfam family "Bacterial small subunit ribosomal RNA", at positions 26 to 287 of the family's 1533-position model. The record is from RNAcentral.
AGAUUGAACGCUGGCGGCAUGCUUUACACAUGCAAGUCGAACGGUAACAGGCCGCAAGGUGCUGACGAGUGGCGAACGGGUGAGUAAUGUAUCGGAACGUGCCCAGUCGUGGGGGAUAACGCAGCGAAAGCUGCGCUAAUACCGCAUACGAUCUAUGGAUGAAAGGCGGGGGACCGUAAGGCCUCGCGCGAGUUGGAGCGGCCGAUAUCGAGUAUUAGGUAGUUGGUAGGGGUAAAGGCUCAACCAAGCCAACGUAUCGUGUA